This is a long non-coding RNA of Papaver somniferum (opium poppy), 1423 nucleotides long. RefSeq lists it as uncharacterized. The transcript has 6 exons. The record is from RefSeq and is a predicted model, not a curated record. Lineage: Eukaryota; Viridiplantae; Streptophyta; Magnoliopsida; Ranunculales; Papaveraceae.
CCUAAUAACUGCGCCCCCUCUUCUAUCUUCCUCAUAUCAUCUCUUCAUCUCUAUCACCACCGAAUCUCAGAUUCAACAUCACAUAUCAAAACUCACCCUCACAAAUCAAAGCUUAAUCUUAACUCCAUCCCUGAAUCAAAACCCACGAAACAGCAGAAAUAAAAUACAAAAAUAAACCCUUUUAACCCUGGAUCUAGCUGUUUUGCUCCUGAAUUCCUAAGGUUUGAGCGUCUACUAUGCAGAUCUCUCCAUUAAAGGUGCUCAACAACUUGGAGCAUCGGCAUCAAGGAACUAAGAUUCUGAUAUUUUUUUGGUAUUUGAUGAAUAAUUUAAGGGAAAAUUAUUUGUGGUCGAGAAAGAUGAUUCAUCAGCUCUCUCUUAUCUCAUCUCUUUUUGGUCCAGAAAUUUUGUUAAUUCGGGAGAAAAUUUGUUUAUUGGGAUGAGCUUACUACUAUUGAUUAGGUUGAAGAACAACAAUCGAAAUCAGAUAAACGAACAUAUGGUGGUCAAAGAAGAAGAGGAAAUUGAAAGUGCAGGUGAUUUAAGAAGAGGAAAUUGUAAGAACAGGUGGUUUUAUAUUGAAUGUAUUUGAUUUUUUUGUGUUUAUUUUCUUAUUCAUAAUGUUUAAUUAGUAAAGGAUCCGUUUGAUUUUGGGUAAUUUCAUGGUGGUGGUGGUGAGUGAUAGUUGAGCCCGGACCACCACCACCACUCAAAAACUUGUCUUUUUGUUGAUGUAAGUCCAUGGAUGUUGCCCAUAUUAUCCGAUUUAUUUCCAUUGGAGUGCAGGCAAUUGGUAUAAUAACCGGAAUGGAAGAUGUACCACAAGAGAAGGUUUCUCAAUGGUAGUUGGACAGGGAAGACAUUUUUUUUGGUCCAAGAGCUGCUUUUAAAUGCCAACAUACAAAAUCUGGAAGAACCCUGAGCUAAAAUAGCUAAUAUACAACAAUCAAUCAUGUCGAAGGGUUUCUUCGCCUAUGGCUGAAUUUUUUUCUGAUAACUAUCGAAUUGUUAACUUAGGUGUGGCGGUCGAGUGUUUGUCUCCACUUCUGUUUGAGAAGUGGUUACCAAGGCAAAAUACAGUUAAUUCUGGGAGAUUCGCCACGGGGCAAGUCUUGAGGUAAUCAUGGAUGAGUAGGACAACUUGAAUGUUGCCUAUUUCUUACAAAUACAAAGGCUGAGCUUGCUGGGUGCUUAAUGGACCUGAUUAGUGCUAAUUUGUUAAUAGAUGAAGGCAUAGAUGGUGAAGUCUCGCAUGCAAGUUAGUGUAGAUUAUCUGGUUUGUUAGCUUGUAACAGGAAUAUUAAGUAAAUGAAGUUUUGAGAAUGGGAAAAGUAUAUUAGAUGAUUAAAGUUGUAAAUUGUUGGCAAUUUUCAAUAAGAAUUUAGUUUUAAUAUUACUAUCAAUUUAAUUAGUUUUUUAUCAA